CAGUAGCCGCGGUAAUACGUAGGUGGCGAGCGUUGUCCGGAUUUAUUGGGCGUAAAGGGAGUGUAGGCGGUCUUUUAAGUCUGAUGUGAAAGCCCACGGCUCAACCGUGGAGGGUCAUUGGAAACUGGGAGACUUGAGUGCAGAAGAGGAGAGCGGAAUUCCAUGUGUAGCGGUGAAAUGCGUAGAUAUAUGGAGGAACACCAGUGGCGAAGGCGGCUCUCUGGUCUGUAACUGACGCUGAGGCUCGAAAGCGUGGGGAGCAAACAGGAUUAGAUACCCGUUAGUCCCUGUCUCUUAUACA
Molecule: ribosomal RNA, 301 nt
Filed under: uncultured bacterium
Lineage: Bacteria
Description: partial 16S ribosomal RNA
Rfam family: Bacterial small subunit ribosomal RNA
Source: RNAcentral